UACGUAGGGACCAAGCGUUGUUCGGAUUUACUGGGCGUAAAGGGCGCGUAGGCGGCCUCUGCAAGUCGACUGUGAAAUCUCCGGGCUUAACCCGGAAAGGUCAGCCGAUACUGCAGGGCUAGAGUGCAGAAGGGGCAACUGGAAUUCUCGGUGUAGCGGUGAAAUGCGUAGAUAUCGAGAGGAACACCUGCGGCGAAGGCGGGUUGCUGGGCUGAUACUGACGCUGAGGCGCGAAAGCCAGGGGAGCGAACGGGG
This 255-nucleotide ribosomal RNA is filed under the name uncultured bacterium. RNAcentral's name for it is "partial 16S ribosomal RNA". It matches the Rfam family "Bacterial small subunit ribosomal RNA", at positions 524 to 777 of the family's 1533-position model. The record is from RNAcentral.